CCUACGGGUGGCAGCAGUGGGGAAUAUUGGACAAUGGGCGAAAGCCUGAUCCAGCCAUGCCGCGUGUGUGAAGAAGGCCUUCGGGUUGUAAAGCACUUUCAGUGGGGAAGAAAGCCUUGGGGCUAAUACCCUCGAGGAAGUACAUCACCCACAGAAGAAGCACCGGCUAACUCCGUGCCAGCAGCCGCGGUAAUACGGAGGGUGCGAGCGUUAAUCGGAAUUACUGGGCGUAAAGCGCGCGUAGGCGGUCUGAUAAGCCGGUUGUGAAAGCCCCGGGCUCAACCUGGGAACGGCAUCCGGAACUGUCAGGCUAGAGUGCAGGAGAGGAAGGUAGAAUUCCCGGUGUAGCGGUGAAAUGCGUAGAGAUCGGGAGGAAUACCAGUGGCGAAGGCGGCCUUCUGGACUGACACUGACGCUGAGGUGCGAAAGCGUGGGUAGCAAACAGGAUUAGAUACCCCGGUAGUC
RNAcentral lists this ribosomal RNA (465 nucleotides) under Vreelandella stevensii. RNAcentral describes it as "partial 16S ribosomal RNA". It matches the Rfam family "Bacterial small subunit ribosomal RNA", at positions 338 to 795 of the family's 1533-position model. Lineage: Bacteria; Pseudomonadati; Pseudomonadota; Gammaproteobacteria; Oceanospirillales; Halomonadaceae. The record is from RNAcentral.